Molecule: long non-coding RNA, 233 nt
Filed under: Elaeis guineensis (African oil palm)
Lineage: Eukaryota; Viridiplantae; Streptophyta; Magnoliopsida; Arecales; Arecaceae
Description: long non-coding RNA (EGUI_LNC047437)
Source: RNAcentral
ACGACGGCCACAAUAGCAACCCUUGCUCCAUUGCCGACCCGGAGAGUGAUUUCGUCUUCCCUCAGUCUCCUAACUUCUUUAAGACCCUACAUAGAAGUGCACAAAUAAGCACUUGAUCUAGAAUCUAGAAUCCAACUAGAAGAAGAGAAAACCAUUAGAUUAGUUUCAAUAACGAGCACAUCAGAUAUACCUUCAAAACACCCAUCCUUCUUUCUAUUUUUGACAAUCACCAG